AAAUGAAUCAACACCACCCGACCAAUCAGAAUCCAGAACUGGACGCCCGACAGCGCUGCGGUGGAAAAUGUAUACCCAAGCGUAUUUGUCUCACUGAGAAAGUGUGACAGAAGAACGAGUUACUCACCGUGUCUCACUGAUCAUGACAUUAAAUAACACUCCUGCUAAUUACAGUGUGUGUAGGUGCGUCAAUAUGAUACCCUGCUGCUAACUCUCUCUCUCUCUCACACACACACACACACACACACCUAGAGACAGAGUACAGAGCGUGAUUGAUGCUCUACAUAAAACAUGUAAAGCUAACAUCUUUAGCGCUACAUUGUUUUUCCUCUUAGCUUCAGCUCACUGGUGUUAAACUCAUCCGCUAGCAACAUCCCCUACUGAUUUACACAUAUAUAAUAAUUAGCCUAAUGUUUGCUAGCUUGCUAACAAAACUGCACGAUUUAAAAAUAUAGAGAUUGAGAGAGAGUCAGUGUGAUUAACCUAUCCUUGUCUUUAGUUACAAAAUGGUUAGCCAAGUGAUAGCUAGCUUGCUAGUUAAACCGCAUACUUGUUUCAACAAAUACUGUAUAGCCAGUGAGAAUAAUCUAUCCUCUGCUUUUACUCACAAAAUCCUUAGUCUAAUGUUAGUGAUCUUACUAGCUAGCUAAUUAAACUAGUCCUAGCUAGCUUAAUACAUACUUGUGCUACUGGUGUUUAUUAUACAGUGUAAUAGUUAACCUAGUAUUAGCAAGGUAGUGAGAUUCACCUCUAGAAUGUUACGAAUGUUAGCUAGCUCAUUAGCUACUUGUGCUACUGCUUAACAUGAGGUAAUAGUCAAUCUAAUGUUAGCUAGCUCAUUAGCUACUUGUGCUACUGCUUAACAUAAGGUAAUAGUCAAUCUAAUGUUAGCUAGCUCAUUAGCUACCUGUGCUCCUGCUUAACAUGAGGUAAUAGUCAAUCUAAUGUUAGCUAGCUCAUUAGCUACCUGUGCUCCUGCUUAACAUGAGGUAAUAGUCAGUCUAAUGUUAGCUAGCUCAUUAGCUACCUGUGCUCUUGCUUAACAUGAGGUAAUAGUCAAUCUAAUGUUAGCUAGUUCAUUAGCUACCUGUUUUCCUGCUUAACAUGAGGUAAUAGUCAAUCUAAUGUUAGCUAGUUCAUUAGCUACCUGUGCUGUGGGUUUUCUUAAUAUAAGAGUUAACAUAGCUUACUAGUCUCCUGUGCCACUGCUAAUGUUUAACCUAUUGUUAGCUAGCUUACUAGCUACCUGUGCUGCUGCUUUACACAAGUAGGACAGGUAGCUAGUUAACCAAAGUUAAUCUAGUGUUAACUAGCUGACUAUCAAUGCUGUGGAUUUACUCAAUAUAAUGUUUAACCUAAUAUUAGCUAGCUUACUAGCCACCUAUGCUACUGGUGUACCAAUGUAAUAGUUAGCCUAGUGCUAGCUAGCUUACUAGUCCUUGGUUUUAAGUAAUGCUCUGCUAGCAAUAGAUAGCAGUUUGAGCAGGUCAAAUAAAUACUGCUGGAGAUGGAAAAGUAGCUAAGCUAAGACUACAUAGCUGGCAACAUUAGCAUAAUGCGAUGUUUUUGUAGCUGGCUAGCUUAGCUAAUAUUGCUAAAUAGGCACUUGUUUUGGUCUUUAUUUAUUAUUUCUGUAACGCCAACUGUGUUUUCUCAGCAGACUGUUUAUUUAUUUAUUUUUCAUUUUAUUUCACCAGCCAUGUUCAUCAGCAAAGCAUAGACUGUAAACAAAGAUUCACGUCACUUUUCAGUCUGAUUAUUACCAGAUUAUUAUUAUUAUCCUGCUAAUUUGUGGUAAGCUCGCCUAAGUGAAAGUAAACUAGCGAGUGAAAGCAAGCCAGCAAGUUGAAGACGACUAAUAAAUGAAGGCAAGCUAGCAAGUAAACCUUGAGUGAAAGCAAACUAGCGGGUCGAAAAUAAACUAGUGAGUGAAAAACGUUAGCAACUAAAAUCAAUCGAGCGAGUAAAAUCAACCUACUGAGUGAAGGUAAACUAACAAAUAAUAGCAAGCUAGCAAGUCAAAACAUCCUAAUCGGUGAAAGCGAACAAACACAAAAACUGGCGAGUAAAAGGAACUAGUGAGUGAAAGCAAAGUAGCAACUAGCAAGCGAAAGCAAAUCAGUAAACUAUUAACAGCAAACUCGUGAGCAAAAGCAAACUAGCGAGUGAAAUUAAACUAGCAAAUAAAUGCAAAUUAGUGAGUGAAAGGCAAAACUAGCAAGUCGAAGCAAACUAGCGAGUGAAACUGAGUAGCGAGUGAAGCGCAAACUAGCGACUGAAAGCGGGACUACCGAGUGAGAGUAUAUAACCAUCCUCAUUCUUGCAUGGCUUUUUAGAAUAUUAAGCCACGCCCAUUUGCAGAGUUGGUGGGUGUGAUCAGUGAGGGGUGUACAGUAGGUGCGGCGCAGCGUGCAGUGAGACAGCAAAAUAAAAUACCGUAUUAGAUCUGAUCGUGGCGUUAGCUAUACAGUGUUGUGACAUCACUCCGACGUCUUUCAUCCUCCACGCUGUGUUUAUUCUCGUUUAUUUCCGUGUGAAGUUUGAUUUUAUCGCAGCGUUCGAGUGUUGGAGCUGUACACUGGAUAAUCAGCUUAGUUACUGAUCACUGGCUCUUUAUUCAUUCCUCUGGUGACGCCUCUGUUCCUCCGCACUGACACACACACACACUCUCUCUCUUUCAGUGUGUGUUUAAUUGGUCAUUCUCUGUGUGUGUGUGUGUGUGUGUGUACAUUUGUAUGCAGACACGUCUGUUUCUUUAAAGCAUAUGCCUUUAAGGCAGCGCAAGGUUAUUCUCUAAUCUUUUAGUCACAGAUCUCGCUCUAUCUCUG
Molecule: long non-coding RNA, 2828 nt
Organism: Ictalurus punctatus (channel catfish)
Lineage: Eukaryota; Metazoa; Chordata; Actinopteri; Siluriformes; Ictaluridae
Source: Ensembl